This 450-nucleotide unclassified non-coding RNA is filed under the name Arabidopsis thaliana (thale cress). Lineage: Eukaryota; Viridiplantae; Streptophyta; Magnoliopsida; Brassicales; Brassicaceae. The record is from RNAcentral.
UUAAUAUGCAAUUUAAAAUGAACUUUUAGUCUUCGGUGACAAACGGCACCGUUUAAUAGUUUGAUGCCGGUCGCUAUUCGUACAUGGCGGAUGCUCCGUCGCAACAUCGCCGUAGAGAGUCUUCUUCGCCGCUGCGUCACCGUCAACUUGGAUGAGACAUAUUCUUAAAAGGAGAACGAUGUGGGUUAGAAGAUGGUUCUUCUAGGUGAUGAUAAUGACACUUGACAAAGUAGAGAGUGACAUGGAUUUCUCUUCUUGCAUCAGCUUCCACUUGACUAAAGUGAAUCACGUUUUAAUGUGUAAGCAUAUCUUGUGGGCCUUUCUCAUCCAAUGAUUUGUUUUUUGCUCCUCUAUGUUGUUUUGCAGACACUGUAGCUUCCCCACUUCUUCUUUUUGGUUUUAAAUUAUUGUGUAGCUAGUAACGAUGUGAAGUAUAACAACAGCCAUUUA